Molecule: ribosomal RNA, 459 nt
Filed under: uncultured Desulfovibrionaceae bacterium
Lineage: Bacteria; Pseudomonadati; Thermodesulfobacteriota; Desulfovibrionia; Desulfovibrionales; Desulfovibrionaceae
Description: partial 16S ribosomal RNA
Rfam family: Bacterial small subunit ribosomal RNA
Source: RNAcentral
ACGGAAGGCAGCAGUGGGGAAUAUUGCGCAAUGGGCGAAAGCCUGACGCAGCGACGCCGCGUGAGGGAAGAAGGUCUUCGGAUCGUAAACCUCUGUCAGAAGGGAAGAAGUCAUGUUGGGCCAAUCACCAUCAUGUUGACGGUACCUUCAAAGGAAGCACCGGCUAACUCCGUGCCAGCAGCCGCGGUAAUACGGAGGGUGCGAGCGUUAAUCGGAAUUACUGGGCGUAAAGCGCUCGUAGGCUGUCUUGCAAGUCAAGGGUGAAAUCCCCGUGCUCAACAUGGGAACUGCCUUUGAAACUGCAGGACUUGAGUAUGUGAGAGGAUAGCGGAAUUCCGGGUGUAGCAGUGAAAUGCGUAGAUAUCCGGAAGAACAUCAGUGGCGAAGGCGGCUAUCUGGCACAAAACUGACGCUGAGGAGCGAAAGCGUGGGUAGCAAACAGGAUUAGAUACCCUGGUA